GCCUUCUUAGCUCAGUGGUAGAGGGCGCCACACGUACUCUGGCGAGUGCAUGGUGAGGUCGGUUGUUCAAUCCAGCCAGGAGGCA
Trametes punicea is the source of this 85-nucleotide non-coding RNA. Lineage: Eukaryota; Fungi; Basidiomycota; Agaricomycetes; Polyporales; Polyporaceae. The record is from the annotation of a GenBank genome assembly.